GUGCCAGCAGCCGCGGUAAUACGGAGGGUGCAAGCGUUAAUCGGAAUUACUGGGCGUAAAGGGCGCGUAGGCGGUUUGGUAAGCGAGUUGUGAAAGCCCCGGGCUCAACCUGGGAAUGGCAAUUCGAACUGCCAGGCUAGAAUGCAGCAGAGGGCAGUGGAAUUCCAGGUGUAGCGGUGAAAUGCGUUGAUAUCUGGAGGAACACCAGUGGCGAAGGCGACUGCCUGGGCUGACAUUGACGCUGAGGUGCGAAAGCGUGGGUAGCAAACAGGAUUAGAAACCCGAGUAGUCC
Molecule: ribosomal RNA, 292 nt
Filed under: uncultured prokaryote
Description: partial 16S ribosomal RNA
Rfam family: Bacterial small subunit ribosomal RNA
Source: RNAcentral